AUUUGAUUGGAAUAUUAUGGUUACCAGUAUCCAGGCUGACCUUCAUAGUAUUGGACCAAUACAGGAUAAUUUCGAAUAAACUUGUGUUUCUAUGAAUUGGACAUUUCAGUUAUUCAGCACUUUUUAACAUAUUAUGGACUAUUGUGAUUUAAGCAUCCAGAAUUAAUUUUAGUUUUUAGUAAUUAACAAUUUUAAUAAUUGGAAAGAAAACAAGACACUUUUUUAGAAAUUAAUCAUCUUCUACUAUCCUUAGGCGCAGAGUCAAUUUUGAAUGGGGGAGGUCCAGGGAGACUGGUAGUGAUUGGGGGAUUAUUUCACUCGGCCCUUGCUCUGGGCCUGACAAGUUCUAAAAUUUGCAGGUUUGGAAAAUGUGGUUAGUGGUAACGGUGGGGGUCUACAGAUGGGUGACUCUGGGACCUCCUCCACCUCAUCUUAUAGAGGGGAGGCCUACACCUGCCAACAGGUGGGGCACUAAUAACUGGAGCAUUGGUAAUACGAGUGUUUUCCCCGGUCACUCCCCAUGGUAGGUGGUGGUGUAACCGUGUUUAACUACCAGGGGUUUUAUGACACUAUGUCAACAUAGGUCAGCUGAUAGCCAUUGUGUAUAGGUAAUCGGUAGUCACCCUGGCGCCUCAACAAAAUAUUUAUAGAAUACUCUGUAGCCAAAGUAAUGCCACAAAGUAAAAAAUGUAUAUUCUAGUCAUGAAAAUGUAAAUACAAGUUGGUGUAAUGAAAUGUAUUUUUUAUUCAAAGGAUUGUUUUUGUAUAAGUAUGAAAUAUAGAGGAUGGAACCUUUACACAAAUGAGUAUAAUAUACAGAAAGUCUAUACAGUAUUUUAAUUUUGGUAUUUGUGAAUUACAAUUAACAACACACAAAGAGAGACAACUCCAGUUUAAUUUUUAACAUAGUUUAGAAAAUACGUCAGCAACUCUUGAUCGUUGUUCUUCGUCUCAUUGUUAUUCGUUCAGUAUUGAUAUAGGGUCUUCUUAUAUGAGUAUUGCAAUUAAUAGAGAUUAUAAAAAUUUUAUAUUUUCAAUAAUCUGGUUUAAUUCAAUCGAAUAUUUGUGUGGGUGCGUGGGUGUUUGCAGUCUGUAGCUCAUUGCCAUAUUCGGCAUGGCCAUAGAUGGCGCUCGCAGCUUGAAUCAGAAUUUUGGAAUUUCCGUAUCAGCUUGAAUUAGAAUUUUGGAAUUCCCGUAUCGGGCACUUGUUAAUUUGCUGUCGACUUGAAAGCAGGUGUUUCACAAAUAAGUUAAACUAUUUAAAACCCGCCCACCCUCCCUAUGAGAAUAGUUGCUGCUGUUUUUGUUUUAUAUUUUCAGGCACUUGUUUGAUGUAUUUGAUUGGAAUAUUAUGGUUACCAGUAUCCAGGCUGACCUUCAUAGUAUUGGACCAAUACAGGAUAAUUUCGAAUAGACUUGUGUUUCUAUGAAUUGGACAUUUCAGUUAUUCAGCACUUUUUAAUAUAUUAUGGACUAUUGUGAUUUAAGCAUCCAGAAUUAAUUUUAGUUUUUAGUAAUUAACAAUUUUAAUAAUUGGAAAGAAAACAAGACACUUUUUAGAAAUUAAUCAUCUUCUACUAUCCUUAGGCGCAGAGUCAAUUUUGAAUGGGGGAGGUCCAGGGAGACUGGUAGUGAUUGGGGGAUUAUUUCACUCGGCCCUUGCUCUGAGCCUGACAAGUUCUAAAAUUUGCAGGUUUUGGAAAAUGUGGUUAGUGGUAACGGUGGGGUCUACAGAUGGGUGACUCUGGAACCUCCUCCACCUCAUCAUAUAGAGUGGAGGCCUACACCUGCCAACAGCUGGGGCACUAAUAACUGGAGCAUUGGUAAUACGAGUGUUUUCCCCGGUCACUCCCCAUGGUAGGUGGUGGUGUAACCGUGUUUAACUACCAGGGGUUUUAUGACACUAUGUCAACAUAGGUCAGCUGAUAGCCAGUGUGUAUAGGUAAUCGGUAGUCACCCUGGCGCCUCAACAAAAUAUUAUAGAAUACUCUGUAGCCAAAGUAAUGCCACAAAGUAAAAAUGUAUAUUCUAGUCAUGAAAAUGUAAAUACAAGUUGGUGUAAUAAAAUGUAUUUU
RNAcentral lists this long non-coding RNA (2075 nucleotides) under Mytilus galloprovincialis (Mediterranean mussel). The record is from RNAcentral. Lineage: Eukaryota; Metazoa; Mollusca; Bivalvia; Mytilida; Mytilidae.